This 221-nucleotide long non-coding RNA is filed under the name Sorghum bicolor (sorghum). RNAcentral's name for it is "long non-coding RNA (SBIC_LNC013040)". The record is from RNAcentral. Lineage: Eukaryota; Viridiplantae; Streptophyta; Magnoliopsida; Poales; Poaceae.
CAGAGUGUACCCCAUCUAUUUGUUUAUCAUCUAUUUUGCUUGUUCCUUCUUUCCUAGUCAAUCUCCUCUCUGUUAGUUUACUUGUUGAUCAGUUCAAAUGCAUUGUUAUAUUUGAUGAAAAUCUUUGUCUUUCAGGAGAAGAGGACAUGGAGAGUGAUUAGGACUAGAGUCAAGCAUAAUGCCUUGUGGUUCAUUAACCAAGCAGAGUUAGCAUUGGCAGC